RNAcentral lists this ribosomal RNA (456 nucleotides) under uncultured bacterium. Its description in RNAcentral is "bacterial SSU rRNA". It matches the Rfam family "Bacterial small subunit ribosomal RNA", at positions 340 to 786 of the family's 1533-position model. The record is from RNAcentral.
UACGGGAGGCAGCAGUGGGGAAUAUUGCACAAUGGGCGAAAGCCUGAUGCAGCUAUGCCGCGUGUAUGAAGAAGGCCUUAGGGUUGUAAAGUACUUUCAUCGGGGAGGAAAAACAAAACUAAUAAUUUUAUUUCUUGACGUUACCCGAAAAAGAAGCACCGGCUAACUCCGUGCCAGCAGCCGCGGUAAUACGGAGGGUGCUAGCGUUAAUCAGAAUUACUGGGCGUAAAGAGCACGUAGGUGGUUUUUUUAAAGUCAGAUGUGAAAUCCCUGGGCUUAACCUGGAACUGCAUUUUGAAACUGAAAUACUAGAGUAUCGUAGAGGGAGGUAGAAUUCUAGGUGUAGCGGUGAAAUGCGUAGAUAUCUGGAGGAAUACCUGUGGCGAAAGCGGCCUCCUAAACGAAUACUGACACUGAGGUGCGAAAGCGUGGGGAGCGAAACAGGGAUUAGAUACC